RNAcentral lists this ribosomal RNA (468 nucleotides) under uncultured bacterium. RNAcentral's name for it is "partial 16S ribosomal RNA". It matches the Rfam family "Bacterial small subunit ribosomal RNA", at positions 28 to 507 of the family's 1533-position model. The record is from RNAcentral.
GACGAACGCUGGCGGCGUGCUUAACACAUGCAAGUCGAACGGAAAGGCCCUGCUUUUGUGGGGUGCUCGAGUGGCGAACGGGUGAGUAACACGUGAGUAACCUGCCCUUGACUUUGGGAUAACUUCAGGAAACUGGGGCUAAUACCGGAUAGGAGCUCCUGCUGCAUGGUGGGGGUUGGAAAGUUUCGGCGGUUGGGGAUGGACUCGCGGCUUAUCAGCUUGUUGGUGGGGUAGUGGCUUACCAAGGCUUUGACGGGUAGCCGGCCUGAGAGGGUGACCGGCCACAUUGGGACUGAGAUACGCCCCAGACUCCUACGGGAGGCAGCAGUGGGGAAUAUUGCACAAUGGGCGGGAGCCUGAUGCAGCAACGCCGCGUGCGGGAUGACGGCCUUCGGGUUGUAAACCGCUUUCGCCUGUGACGAAGCGUGAGUGACGGUAAUGGGUAAAGAAGCACCGGCUAACUACGUG